This 253-nucleotide ribosomal RNA is filed under the name uncultured bacterium. RNAcentral's name for it is "partial 16S ribosomal RNA". It matches the Rfam family "Bacterial small subunit ribosomal RNA", at positions 524 to 776 of the family's 1533-position model. The record is from RNAcentral.
UACGUAGGGUGCGAGCGUUGUCCGGAAUUAUUGGGCGUAAAGAGCUUGUAGGCGGUUUGUCGCGUCUGCUGUGAAAAUCCGGGGCUCAACCCCGGACUUGCAGUGGGUACGGGCAGACUAGAGUGUGGUAGGGGAGACUGGAAUUCCUGGUGUAGCGGUGGAAUGCGCAGAUAUCAGGAGGAACACCGAUGGCGAAGGCAGGUCUCUGGGCCAAUACUGACGCUGAGGAGCGAAAGCGUGGGGAGCGAACAGG